CCUACGGGAGGCAGCAGUAAGGAAUAUUGGUCAAUGGAGGCAACUCUGAACCAGCCAUGCCGCGUGCAGGAUGACGGCCCUAUGGGUUGUAAACUGCUUUUAUACAAGAGAAAACCCUGGUACGUGUACCAGGUUGAUAGUAUUGUAAGAAUAAGCAUCGGCUAACUUCGUGCCAGCAGCCGCGGUAAGACGAAGGAUGCAAGCGUUAUCCGGAUUCAUUGGGUUUAAAGGGUGCGUAGGCGGACUGAUAAGUCAGUGGUGAAAUCUCUUUGCUUAACAAAGAAACUGCCAUUGAUACUGUCGGUCUAGAGUAUAGAUGACGUUGGCGGAAUAUGACAUGUAGUGGUGAAAUACUUAGAUAUGUCAUAGAACACCGAUUGCGAAGGCAGCUAACGAAACUAUAACUGACGCUGAGGCACGAAAGUGCGGGGAUCAAACAGGAUUAGAUACCCUGGUAGUCCGCACCGUAACGA
RNAcentral lists this ribosomal RNA (473 nucleotides) under uncultured bacterium. RNAcentral describes it as "bacterial SSU rRNA". It matches the Rfam family "Bacterial small subunit ribosomal RNA", at positions 338 to 809 of the family's 1533-position model. The record is from RNAcentral.